CGAGUUUAUCCUGGCUCAGGAUGAACGCUAGCGGCAGGCUUAAUACAUGCAAGUCGAACGGGAUUUAGGGUAGCAAUACUUUAAUGAGAGUGGCGCACGGGUGCGUAACACGUAUGCAACCUACCUUUAACUGGAAGAUAGCCCCGGGAAAUCGGGAUUAAUAUUUCAUAACACUGCGCUGUGGCAUCACAGUGCAAUUAAAGCUCCGGCGGUUAAAGAUGGGCAUGCGCGACAUUAGCUAGUUGGUGAGGUAACGGCCCACCAAGGCUACGAUGUCUAGGGGUCCUGAGAGGGUUAUCCCCCACACUGGUACUGAGACACGGACCAGACUCCUACGGGAGGCAGCAGUAAGGAAUAUUGGUCAAUGGGCGCAAGCCUGAACCAGCCAUGCCGCGUGCAGGAAGACGGCCCUAUGGGUUGUAAACUGCUUUUAUCAGGGAAUAAACCUCCGUACGAGUACGGGGCUGAAGGUACCUGAAGAAUAAGCAUCGGCUAACUCCGUG
Molecule: ribosomal RNA, 503 nt
Filed under: uncultured bacterium
Lineage: Bacteria
Description: bacterial SSU rRNA
Rfam family: Bacterial small subunit ribosomal RNA
Source: RNAcentral